Molecule: small nucleolar RNA, 208 nt
Filed under: Jaculus jaculus (lesser Egyptian jerboa)
Lineage: Eukaryota; Metazoa; Chordata; Mammalia; Rodentia; Dipodidae
Description: Small nucleolar RNA SNORA73 family (ENSJJAG00000004702.1)
Source: RNAcentral
CUGAUGUUUGCAGAACAAAAAUGACAGCUCCGGGUUGAGGGAGAGACUCCGUCUCAGGAAGCGUGCAGAUGAAGGCUCUGUCUCAUGAUGUACAGUCCCUUUCCACAACAUUGGAGAUGAAGCUGGGCCUUAGAGUCCACACCUUCAUAGUGCUAUGACUUGUCAGAGUGGACAAUGGCCGAGGAGACAAACCACAUAGGAAACAGCG